RNAcentral lists this long non-coding RNA (1484 nucleotides) under Salvia miltiorrhiza (redroot sage). RNAcentral describes it as "long non-coding RNA (SMIL_LNC005425)". The record is from RNAcentral. Lineage: Eukaryota; Viridiplantae; Streptophyta; Magnoliopsida; Lamiales; Lamiaceae.
CUCGAAACGAACAAAACCGAACGGUUUUCCUUUGACGUCCCUCUUCCUUGGUCGAAAAAUAUCAAUGACUUUUCCAAUCUCUGAGAAUUUUCUUUGAAGCGUUUCCAGCCAGGUUCCUUCCGGGAAGUUAUUGAAGAAGAAGGUGACUCCUUCUUCAGCCUGAAACUUUCCUUUCCGACCACCAUCUGCCAAGAAUUUGGAGUUUGUCCUAGGGUUUGGAAAGAAUAUUUGCCUCACCGGAAAACACUCGGAACGGGUUCGGCCUACCCCUCUCCUCCUAACCUCUUUCCACUCGCCGUUCUCCAUCCUUCCGUCCGAUUUCAAACCCGGUGUUCUCGACCAAGAUGCCGUAUGGUAUAUGAGAAUAACUAAAACAAGAUUACAAUAAUCCUAAAUAGUAAUUAGACUGUAAUUAUGUGCACAAUAAAGCCUUUGGAAUAUGAACUCUUUCUUUCCAUAGGAUGUUCCACACCAAUCCCCUCUCUGGCGUUUCAUCAAACAUUACAUGUCCAUUCGGUUAGAAGAGGCAUUUUAACAAACAGUCUCUGCUCAUACUGAUUUUUAUCCCAUAACGAGGUAUAGUUUUGAAUCGGCAUGUUUUUGUUUCCUGUUUGAUUUUGAGAGUCGAUAAUGUUAUUAAUUAAUUGACACUGUGUCUUUUCUUUUCAUUCUUUUAAAAGGCGUUUGCCCGUUCUGAAGUGUAUAGGUCUGAGGUUUCUGUGUUUCUUAUUCUCUCAGGAAUUGGACGUGACAAAAAUGUGGAAAAUAAUUUCUUAUUCUUUUCCAUGUUCUAUAUAUAAACUAUGAGUGGAUAUAAUUUCUAGGAUUGGAUGGAAAAAAAACGAGAGCCUACUUCCUUCUUUCUCACUCCAAUUAAUUCAUGAUAAUAUUUUCAUGAGGUAUUAAUUUGGUAGCAUUUAUUUAUAUUUUUGUCAUCCUAUCUACAAUAUGGGAUAAAAUAAGUAAGGCCACUAAAAUGAAUAAAAAUUUCCCAUAUUUUCUUAUAUUUCAUCUUCUUAUAAUAAAUUUCAACCAAAGAGAUACACUUCAUUUCAGUCUUAUAUUGCUAGUAAAUAAUAUCCAACGUGUGUAUGAAUGACACUACAAUAGAAAAUAUAAUAUUUUGAUUCAUAACAUAUAUAGCAUGUGGCGUAUGUUUCGAAUGACAUCAUAAAUGUAAUACAUAUACAACAUCUUACAAUAAUACAUCACGAAAACGUAAAAUUUUGACAUAAGAAACAUUACAUUUGAUUUAUAGCGAUACAAGUGAUUAGACUUAAUCAUUAGUCCUUAUUCAUAGUAAAAGAUUACUCAAAUGUGCUUCUUACGUCCCAAGGUGGAGCUGAAAGACCACGAGAUGAGGUCUGAACGGCGGAUAAUCCUCCGGUGGCGGCGGAGAUUCCGACUUGAACCUGCUGAGGGAGAAAGCUACUCAGAUCGUAUACAUAGCUCACCUCAAAAUCAUUUCCACCGGCACUGCCGUG